UGGGGGGUAAAAGAAACGCAACCCUCUCCAACGAACAGAUAAAGGAACCGGUGCUGUCACUUGCCUACGCUGCGAUUGCGAAGCAGAAAAGAAAUUCAAACCGCGACCGCGGCCCUGACCCGGUUUCUAGAAGCCCCUUUGCUCCUGGAAUUUGUAAACGCUUAAGUAAAUAAACCGCAAACCAGAAAAAUAAGACUUUCGGAGAGAGCUGCUCACACUGAGAUGCUUGCGUCUAGGCGAGGCGUGCUCCUAGACUUCAUCCGCUGCAUCUGGGGUGAAGGGGUUUUCAACCCACCCCCAGUAGUAUCUAGGGCUCCAGCUGCAAAGUGCUUAGGGCUUUGACUUUUGGAAGAAGUCCUUAGAUCCCAGGCCAAAUCGUCCUCCUCUCUCCUUCCCUGCCCCACACCCCAAAACCAGAUUACAACGUAUUCAUUCCACAAACGUUACCCAAGUGUCAUCUGGUGCCAGGCCAGGAACUGUGCCAGGGACCUUUGACUCUACCUUCCAAGCAAUCCCAGCAAAUUGGUCCAUGAUGAUCUAACUGGUGAAGGCAGAGAGGGUUAACUUCAUGAGCAUCUUCCUGGGAAACAAUGGAGUUGUGAUAUGGGUGUCCAAAAGAAUACUUUUGGAACGGAACAGAUAAUAUCUUUAAAGAUGGAUGUUUGUGUACCUUUUGUAACUCUAACCUGGAACUGAACAAAGAGGAGGUGUUCAGCACUUACUGGAUCAUGAAUUCUUGGGACUCCAUGAAUGGCCAGAAGAGAUGAUGACCUGAAGACACUCCACAACCUGCAUGAGAUGGAAAAGUAGAGCUGAUCCUGGGACUCAAACUCAAGCACAUCAACAGCAAGCACGCUUAUUUACCUCCUCCGCCAUCUCACUGGCCCAAGCAGGGUUUGACUGUAUAGUUCUGACUGAAGUGGAACUCAGCGAAAGUCACAAAGACUCACCUGCUUCUGCCUCCUUGAUACUGGAACUAAAGGUAUGCCCCACCAUGUCUGGCUAAACUAAAGGUGUGCCGCGCCAUGUCUGAAGAGGAGAUUCAAGUCAGGGAUGGCUUGAAUGUAGCUGGAAUCCCAGAACUCAGGGAAGACUAGGGAGGAGGGUCCUGAGUUCAAGGCCAGUCUUGCCGAAAUACUGUCUCAAAAGAAUGAAAAAAUACUCAAAAAUAAAAAUGUUAGGAAUUUCAGUAAUUCUACUGUACCUGCUUUUUUCAAUAAAGUGUGAAAAAGCUAGCAUGUAAGGGCUGGGGUGAUAGCUCAUUGGUAAGCUCAUCUGGUAAGCUCAGAGAUUUAAAUUUUAUCCCCAGAAUCCACAUAAAAAAUUCAGUUAAGUAACACAUAUUCAUAAUACCAGUCCUAGGGGGGUAAAGACAGGAGGAUCCCUGGGCCAGGUGCUCAGGCAGCUACUGUGAGAUUUUUCAGGACAAAGACAGAACAGAGCCUAAGGAAAGACACCGGAGGUUGUUCCGUGCCCUCCCCACCACAUUCACACAGGAACCAUCCACAGAAGAACUGCACCCUUGAACAUGCAGUCACACAUGCACGCACGCUUGCACGCACACAGUAUUGGAAUGAGAAGCCAAGCUUGGGCUCAGUUCAUCAGCUCUUAGACCACUGGAAAUCUAAACUACUAAACUAACUUCCCAGCCCUUCCGGUUCUGCCCAUUCUCCCCCGAAAGAUGAGAUGGGAUUAACGUUCUGAUGCUGCUUGUGUCACUGCGUCGCUAUUAUCACAUUGUAACGAAUUGGACUUUCUAUUACAGCAGCAUUUUAUCCCCCUGCCUUAUUUGCUUGACCAUCAGGAUGGCCAGUCCUCACCAUGAAAACUUUCCACAAGGGAUCACAGGACCGCUCUUCUUUCCCAGUGACCCAGGCAAAGAAUCCCUCACAGUCACAAGAAAAUGGAGUCUUCCCAGGGCGGCGUCUUUUUUUGUUCACAUAAUGGUGAUAUCAAUUUAUUUUUUAUUCUAGAACAGGAAAACAAAGAGAGCCUAAACCCGGACUUUCUUGCUAGAUUUCCCAAAGGAGUGUGGCACAGUUCCUUUUUCUUCUCUGCAAUUAUGUUCAGAUUAAUUUGCUCCUGGCCCAGUUGACAUCUAUUCAUUUCUGCAGCCACUGCAUCACACCCCAAAUGAACUUCCUCUUUCUAUUGUUGGACAAGUUUUCACAAAAUAGUUACAAACUUUCUGCUUCCGCUUUAUUCAGUGGCGUGUGUCAAGCGUUUUCUCCAGACUCUUUCCUCUGGCGUCUCCCUGAGGAAAGCGAAGUGACAAUCCAUUAUGGGCAGAGCUUUCUGACUUAUGGGGAGGAGCAGACGGGGAGGACACAUUUACUAACUGUCUUUGGCAUGCCAGAUGACAGUGCAUCUAAGGCCUUUUAGGGUUCUUCACACUAAGUGAUUUUUUUAUUGGUCAUAUCAACACAUUAGAUACAUUAGAUCAACACUAGAGAACAUUUAUUUUAAAUUUUAUUUUUAUUUGUGGAUGUGUGUGUGUCUGUGUGUGUGUGCAUGUUCACACGUCACAGCAAGUGUGCCAAGGGUCAGAGAACAACUUUGUAGAGUAGGUUUUUUCCUUCCACUAUUAUGUGGGUUCCAGGGAUCUAACUCAGGCUAUCCUGGGUUCACAGUAAGUGCCUUUACCAACUGAGCCAUCUUACCAGCCAUAGAAACAAUGUAUUAAGGUCUCACAGUUUGCUAAGCACUCCAUAUAGAUCACCCUGCUGAAUCUUAUCACCAUCCUCAUAGAUGGGUUUAUUACCUCCUUUGAUAGAUGAAGAAGUUAAGUUCUAAAUUUCAAAGAAAUUGCUGAAGAUCAUUCAAUUGAAAGUAGUGAAGAUUGAUUGACUCCUGAGGAAUACCUUGGGUUCUCACAGUGCAGCCCUCAGAUCAGCAUCCUCAGCAUGGCCUGUCCCCCAGGAAAUUGCUAGAAAUGCAAAUUCUCUACUGUACUUCAGAUGGAUGGAGUCAGAAGUCCCAGGCCAGGGAUGGCAGGUGAGAAGCAAUCUGUGUUUUAACCAGUCCUGCAGGUACCUCUGAUGGAUGCUAGCGUCAAAGACUCAACUGUGCUUUGCUUUCUAUAUACAAAGGCAUCACACUUGUUAUUAGGAAACUGUGAAGACCACCUGGGAAAUGACUUCAGAAGUUUCAACUGAAUGGCCAGGAACUGGGGAGAUCCUGUGGCUUUCUGCUGUGGAAUAAUCCUUUUGUAUUCUGUAAAGAUUUGUCACUUGAAUUGGCUUAAUAAAACGCUGACUGGUCAGUAGCUGACAGGAAAUGUAGGCAAGACAACCAAACUAAGGUUGCUGGGAUGAUGAUGGGUGGAGUCAGAGGAGUUGCCAGACAGACGCAGAAUGAGUCAGACAUACAAACUGGGAUAAAGAUAAAAGCCACAUGGCAGAAUGUAGAUUAAUAAAAAUGGGUUAAUUUAAGUUGCAAGAGCUAACUAGUAAUAAU
Molecule: non-coding RNA, 3456 nt
Organism: Myodes glareolus (Bank vole)
Lineage: Eukaryota; Metazoa; Chordata; Mammalia; Rodentia; Cricetidae
Source: RefSeq, a predicted model, not a curated record